Molecule: ribosomal RNA, 433 nt
Filed under: uncultured bacterium
Lineage: Bacteria
Description: partial 16S ribosomal RNA
Rfam family: Bacterial small subunit ribosomal RNA
Source: RNAcentral
AGCGAACGCUGGCGGCAGGCUUAACACAUGCAAGUCGAGCGGACCUUUCGGGGUCAGCGGCGGACGGGUGAGUAACGCGUGGGAACGUGCCUUCCGGUUCGGAAUAACCCUGGGAAACUAGGGCUAAUACCGGAUACGCCCUUAUGGGGAAAGGUUUACUGCCGGAAGAUCGGCCCGCGUCUGAUUAGCUAGUUGGUGGGGUAACGGCCUACCAAGGCGACGAUCAGUAGCUGGUCUGAGAGGAUGAUCAGCCACACUGGGACUGAGACACGGCCCAGACUCCUACGGGAGGCAGCAGUGGGGAAUAUUGGAAAAUGGGCGCAAGCCUGAUCCAGCCAUGCCGCGUGAGUGAUGAAGGCCUUAGGGUUGUAAAGCUCUUUUAUCCGGGACGAUAAUGACGGUACCGGAGGAAUAAGCCCCGGCUAACUUCGUG